Molecule: long non-coding RNA, 1617 nt
Filed under: Androctonus crassicauda
Lineage: Eukaryota; Metazoa; Arthropoda; Arachnida; Scorpiones; Buthidae
Source: RNAcentral
UACAAGUUCUGUGUUUUGUUCACAAUAUUGGAGUAAAUAUUCCAUUUGUUCUGAAGAGGCCAGUGAAAUCCGAAAAAUAUCUGAUGGGAUGUGACGUCGACGUGAGUUAUGCGCAUGCCCCCUGAAUUAACAAGUCGAUCAGCGUUGUCCCAACGUAUAAUCUGCCAACUAUGAAAAAAAUGCCGUUUUUCAACUUUGAGCAAGUAGCGUUGUCAUGACGUAGUUCUACUUCGCUUUCGGUCGCGAUACAUCUGACGUCACUAACAUCAAAAUCGACGCUAAGUCGAAGAACGCGCCCCUGGUUACCAUGAUAACUGCCAGGUGUCUGGUAAUACUAGGACAGUGGAUGCUCGCCUUUACAUAAUCCAAAUAACACUAACCAACCAGAACUCCCAUAGUGAUAUAUUUUUGAAUUAACUUCCAAAUUAAUAAUUAUUAAUUAAUUUUUUCAGUUAAUUCACAAAUAUAUCACUGCGGAAGUUUUGACUAGUUAGGGUUAUUUGAAAAAGAAAAUGCCCAAGAAAUUAUUGAAAAUUGGGACGAUUAUGAUGCAUCUUUAGAUACAGUUUUUGAUUCUGCUGAAACAUUUGAUAAUGAUAGUGUUUCAUAUUCAGGGGAGUUUUGGUAAAUUAGUAUGAAAAGUUAGAAAAAUCUGUAAGAUCUUUAGAAAAUCAUCAUUUGAAAAAUGAUUAUCUACAAAAAAUUAUUACAGCUAAUUUUAAGAAAGAGCUAAAACUUGUGCUUGAUAACUGGACAAGAUGGAACAGCACUAUUGCAAUGAUUUCUAGAUUCAUUGAACUGAAAAAUUGCCUUCCUAAUUCUUUGAGAGUUUGUGCAAUUGCUGAAGUGAUUUCUGACAACAAAUGGAGAUCUUUAGAAGCUCUCCUAUAUAUACUUCAACUUUUUGAAAUAGUUAUCAAGGGAAUUUCCUCAAACGAAAAUUCACCAUUGAAGAGAGAAAAUUCAAUGAAAUUUAUUUUGAAAGAUUUGGAGAAUCACAGUUCAGUAUUGGCUGCAAAAUUGAAGAAAACUUUGAAUCCUAUUUUUCACAGAGAAUGAUAAAUGUCAUUGAACUAACCUAUCUCAAAGAUCCUGAAGUAUUGAAAAGAAAUGACUUUAAAGAACCUUUCUUGGUGCCAAAUCACAAAAACACAAAAAAAAAAAAAAAAUUGGUGGAAGCAACAUUCACCAGCUAUUUAUAUCAGAUGCAGAAAGACAAGAAGAAAUUGCUGAAUAUGGUAUUUUUGUUACAGAAGAUGCAGUUACUUCAGUCAGUGAUUCAAUAUUUCAGAUAUAUCUCAGUAAAGUGAUCAGUAUGAGUCUCCCUCUCCCUUAUUUGAUUUAGUAAAAAAAUUGAAACUGUAUGAAACAACAGGAAAGCAAACUGAAUAUUUAGAGCAACUUUGCAAAAAGAUUAUUAACCAUAAAAGAAACUACCAUGGAAUCAGAAAGCAUCUUUCUUCUGCUGGCUACUUUGUUUCAGAAAUUUGUUCUUAAUUAUCACCAAAAAUAUUAGAUGCUUUGUGAUUUUUAAGAUCAUACAUCUCUAAAAAAUAAAUGCUAAAAAUUAAUAAAUAAUUUUCCAAAACUGUAGGUGAAAGUGUGGUACAUAUUUCU